CCUACGGGAGGCAGCAGUGAGGAAUAUUGGUCAAUGGGCGCGACCCUGAACCAGCCAAGUCGCGUGAGGGAAGACGGUUCUAUGGAUUGUAAACCCCUUUUGUCGGGGAGCAAAAGAAGCCUCGCGUGGCGUUCCGAGAGUACCCGAAGAAUAAGCAUCGGCUAACUCCGUGUCAGCAGCCGCGGUAAUACGGAGGAUGCGAGCGUUAUCCGGAUUUUUUGGGGUAAAAGGGUGCGCAGGCGGAAGGACAAGUCAGCGGUAAAAUUGAGGGGCUCAACCUCUUCGAGCCGUUGAAACUGGUUUUCUUGAGUGAGCGAGAAGGAUGCGGAAUGCGUGGUGUAGCGGUGAAAUGCAUAGAUAUCACGAGGAACUCCGAUUGCGAAGGCGGCAUACCGGCGCUCAACUGACGCUGAGGCACGAAAGUGUGGGGAUCGAACAGGAUUAGAUACCCGUGUAGUC
Molecule: ribosomal RNA, 459 nt
Filed under: uncultured bacterium
Lineage: Bacteria
Description: partial 16S ribosomal RNA
Rfam family: Bacterial small subunit ribosomal RNA
Source: RNAcentral